AAUAGUUGUGCCUGCCAUAUAUCCCAAAUUCCCAAUUAUAUGUAGCCUAUGGACCUCGACACAGCUAGCCGCUGGCCUCUGGCCUCGCUGUAGCUACGCCUUUGUCUCACAGCUCCCAUCCUACGCCUACCGCACUUCUGAUAUUCGCAGCUAGAUCUUCCUUUCCCUAUUAUCUAUUGCCGUUUUUCCCUCACAUUCUAUAUAGAUUCCACGUUGUUUUGGAAUUUUGUUAUAUUAUAUUCUGUAAUUAUUUGAUACUCAACUUUUAAAGAAGCAUCUUUUUGUUUUGUUUUUUAAUCUGUCACUUUUCUUUCAGGGGCAAUUGUGAGUCUGUGACAUAUGAUGAUUCAAAGAACUUGAGGAACAUUAUCUGGCUGGCUCCAUUACCUGGUGAAUUUGCUAAAUCUUGGUUUGCACCAGGUACCCUCAGUACAUAUGUAUAAAUUUGCAUUCCUUUUCUUAUAAAUCUGCACCAGGUACCCUCUAAUACAAGAUAGAGAUGUUCUUGUGCCUUUUUCUAACUCUUUUUUUGUUGAGUUGUGCCUAGAGUUGGACAAAAUCCAGAUUAGAAUUAAGAAGUUUAAUGGUGUCUAAGUGAUGCUUGUGACAGCUUGACAUUGUCAAUGAUAUCUCACAAUGUGUGGCUUUUGUUGGGUGAUCAAGUUCUUUUUCAUCGAGCAAAAGUAUUUCUUCCAACAAUCCACAAGAGAACAAGGGCAGAGCUCAGAAGCAUGCUUGUGUUAGAUUGAAUCGAUCACUAGAUGUGUGUUUGGUUCUUUUGCCAGCUCCUUCUCCUAUUUGUCAUACACAUGACUUCAUUAUCAAUGUUUCUGGUACCAUGACCAUAGUAAUUGUUUCACUAUUUGGUGGCUUCAUCAUUUCAAAAUCACAUAUGCCAUCAUUAACUAUUUUUUCAAAUGAUUAUGUUCAUUUUCUUAACUGCAAAUGAAUUUUUGGCUCCUAGAUGGGAAAAGGUGUCUAUUCCCAUUGCUUGAACUGCUUCCAAAUACUGUACGAGUAAUAAUCAGAAAAAGGAGGUUUGAACUUACUAAAACAAUCAGAAAAAAUUGAACUUACUAAAACAACUUAUAAUGCCAAAGAUCCUCUCUUUGGUUCACACAGUGAUUCAUCCACUGGAUGAACACGUUGAUUAUUCAUCUCAAAACCAUGCUCUUCCUCAAUCUUAAUAGACAGGUCAGAUAUGAAGGGGGAGAACCAAACAACAAGUGGUGUGAAAAAUAAAAUGAGGCCAAAAGACACUAUCCAAAGGUGUCUAUUUGCUGGAUGAUGUUUGUGGAACCACCAUCCAAGCAAAUAUGCUCCUGCUAUGCUUAACAGCAUAGACUACAUGAAAAUCACCAAGUAUCUCUUUGUUAUCUUCUGCCUUUCCUUCAAGUCUCCAUUCUCUAAUUCUUUAAUUAGUCUCAUCUAAUUGCAGCCACUCAAGGCACAGUGUGCAAAGAUUCUUUUUAUAAAUACAAGAUUUUGGUAAUUUAUAAUUUUAGUUGAUAUUUAUUUUCUGUGCUGUGAGGUUUUCCAUUUUCUUCUUCUUCAUUUCCUUAAGAAUUGAAUAAUAAAUGAGAUAAAAGUUUUCAAGUUUGUAAGGAAAAAAAUGUCCACUUCUCCAAAAUUGAUGUGCUGCUUUUGGCCCAACCCAUUUAAAUAGUUCUUAAAAGCUGUCACUAACAUGAGAUUUGAUGAUGAGCCAAAUCAUAUAUUGCAAGCUUAUAUUACUUUUGAUUUACCAUUCACUCCAUUGAGACCUAUUAGAAUUGAUGGAGCUUUAAAGGUUGAUUUAGUUGGUUUAAUGGCAGAGUUCAGAGUGGGUGAGUGAUGCUUGAUUGAGUAGUUCUAAGGAUAAGGAAGGAAAUUUUGUAACUGCUAGCUUCAAAAUGUUUGUCCUAGACCAAAUUUCAUCAUUUUAAGUAAAUACUAAAUAUGAUACAUUACUUGUAUAAAUUAGUUUUUAUGGCGCUUAUAAUGAAAUUAGUCAAAUUACUGAUUUUCAAGAUUGUUUAAUUGAUGUACCUGAUCAUGUAUUUAUAGAUUCUGAUCCCUCUGUCUCAAAUGUGUUUCUACCCAUUUCUUGUGCUUAUUCAUAGUGUAUCUCAAUUUUUCUGUGACUGUGUCUACCUAUCUAUUGGCUAAGUUGAUCCUUUUUUCUCUUCAAUUUUGAAGCUUACCUUUGGGAUCAUGUGAGAGCUUUGACAAUGAGUGAGCCCAAUUCAUAUUUUUUAUUUUCAAGGAUUUAGAUUCUUCAAGAAGAAAUUGGGCCCAAUUUGUAAGCUGAGGAGACUUCCCCUUGCUCUUCUAUGUUUUUAGAGUUGAAAUAUACUCCUUAAGAGUUGUUCCCAAAGAGCUAUCACGAAAGCCACAAGGAUGAUAUUAUUGGAUUGAUUACAGCGGUUAAAGAUGAGAUUUGUGGAGGGUGGUAUUACAGGGGGACACAUGGAGUUGUUGUUUUUUUUAUAAGCAUGGAGUUGUUGUUAUUGAUAAUAGAGAUCUCAAUGCAAAUUGUGAGGUAGAUAUGGGGAUGGAGGUUUGAAUGGACAAUUAUCUUGAACAAGACCAUGGAGCAAAACCGAGAGACUGUUAAGGGCCUCAAAUUCAUGUCUCAAACUGGUGGUGCUGAUGACAUGGUUAAGGAUGCUAUGAUGGAGGAUUGGGCGCUGACUCUCAGUGAAUAUAUGAGCAGUCAGUUAUGUGCGAUGAAUGGAACAUUUUGGGAUGUACAGAAUGAAAGAUUUUGGCAUUGUUACUCCAUCAAGAAUUCAAGAUUGAAUUAGAGAAUCACCAAUCUUUGCUGUUUCAAAUUUCUAGCCAAAAGAAUAAGAAUGUGGCGGAGAUGGGCUCUUGGGAAGGGAAUCGUUGGGUUUGGAAUUUCCAGUGGAAUGCUGUGAUGGAUGGGGAGUUGGCAAACCAGUUAUCUGAAUUGAAGUCCAUCAUCUCAUCUUUUUCUCUCAUCCAAGGCAAGAAGGAUUCAUGGUUUUGGACUAGAGAAAGGGGGAUGGCCAAUUCUCAGUCAGAUCAGCUUAUGAAGCCAUUUUUGCUACUGAUGUCAAAUUGGAGGAGGAUUGUUUUAAGCUCUUAUGGAAAUCUUUAGCACCUUCAAAUGUUGUUUCUUUGGGCUGGAAGAUCCUUAUCAAACGCAUCCAGACUAAGGACAAUUUAUUGAGAAGAAAUGUCCCAAUUGUAGAUUCUAGCUGUCCUCUGCGUGGUGCCUAUAAUGAGUCGAUUUUACAUCUUUUUUUCUUCUGUCAUUAGGCCUGGAGAUUUGGUGUCGGGUUUUUAAUUGGUUGGGGGUCUGUUUUGUAUGUCCUGGUACUCCAGUUGAUCAUCUUCUGUCCUUUGCUGGGUUGUUUCUGUUGGCCAAGAAGGAUGGUAUUUUAUCAGUAUGGCUGGCAGUUGUUUGGCAUGUUUGGGUGGGAAGGAAUGAAGCAGUUUUCAGAGAAGGGGUUUUUCUACCUGAGUGCAUUUUUUACUUGGUCAAGUUAAAAGUGUGGGAAUGGUUGAAAGCCAGAAGCUGCCACUUCACACAUGCUACCUAUGAAUGGUUCAAUGAACCAAUCCUCUGCCUACUCGAUUAUUAGAUGGAAGGAAUUUUUAAGUUUGCUGGUUCUGUUCAUUUGUACUGAUACACUUGCAAUACUUUGACUCUUAGUCAAAUUAUUGAAUCUCUUUUUUUAAAGGGUUUGGGGUACCCUUUUACCACCUUGAAUGUAUAAUUGCUUAUACAUUCAAGUGAUGAAAUGUUAUCUUGCAAUACUUACUUUCAAUAAUGAUCUUUCCAAAAAGUUUCUCCCA
Lotus japonicus is the source of this 3804-nucleotide long non-coding RNA. RefSeq lists it as uncharacterized. NCBI's taxonomy places the organism in Eukaryota, Viridiplantae, Streptophyta, Magnoliopsida, Fabales, Fabaceae. The transcript has 9 exons. The record is from RefSeq and is a predicted model, not a curated record.